CGGCUCGCUUGGCCGCGGUGAAAUGAGGGCUAAAACGUGAGACUGGGAUUUUUUUCAUAAUUGUUUUUCUUCACCCAAGGACAAAUGGAUCAAGCAGAGGUAUCGUUAACUUUUCUUCGCGUGCGACUUUACAUUACAACAAAAAAUAAAAUAUCACCAACUUAUUAUGACGUUUUCAUAUGACUGCAGACACCAAAUGCAGAAGUGGUACAUACUUUAUCAAUCUUUUAAAACAGCCCCCUUUUAGAAAAUAUUCAACACGAGUGUCUGAAAGAGGUUUAGACUGAGUUACUAACGCACAAAUAUGCUAAGUUGUCGUUAAGUCAUGUCAGGUUUUUGAACAACAGAAACAGCGAGGAAGAAAAUGCGGUUCUGCCUAAACACUCCGGUUAAUGUCGGCUGUCUGCACAGGAUGAAACAGAUGUCUGUGUAACAGCUGUAACCACAGCACAGAGAGCUUGCAGAAACACUGUUAUAACAUUGUUAUAACUACGGACCCCAAAAGAAAGAUAUCCAUCCAUCUGAACAAACCACAAAACUCUUCCUGGACUUCAGCUCAGCAUUUAAUCACAUCAUCCCAGAGAUCCUGGUCCAGAAACUGUCUCACCUGGGACUCUCCACCCCCAUCUGCCUCUGGAUCAAGGACUUCCUGACAAACAGACCACAGUCUGUCAGACUCGGCCCCCACCUGUCCAGCACCAUCACACUCAGCACCGGGUCUCCACAAGGAUGUGUUCUGAGUCCCCUCCUGUUUACGCUCUACACAUCCGACUGCUCCCCUACCCAUCUCUCAAACACCAUCAUAAAGUUUGCGGAUGACACCACAGUGGUUGGACUCAUCUCAAGGGGGGAUGAGUCGGACUACAGAGAUGAGGUCAACAGACUGACUGAGUGGUGUUCAGUUAAUAACCUCCAACUGAACACCACGAAAACUAAAGAACUUAUCUUCGACUUCAGGAAGGGCAGAGCAGACCCGGCC
Long non-coding RNA from Oreochromis aureus, 979 nucleotides. The record is from Ensembl. NCBI's taxonomy places the organism in Eukaryota, Metazoa, Chordata, Actinopteri, Cichliformes, Cichlidae.